UACAGGGGGUGCAAACGUUGCUCGGAAUCAUUGGGCGUAAAGCGCACGUAGGCGGUUCGUUAUGUCGGAUGUGAAAGCCCUUGGCUUAACCGAGGAAGUGCAUCCGAAACUGGCGAGCUAGAGUACUAAAGAGGAUCGCGGAAUUCCCGGUGUAGAGGUGAAAUUCGUAGAUAUCGGGAGGAACACCGGUGGCGAAGGCGGCGAUCUGGGUAGAUACUGACGCUGAGGUGCGAAAGCCGUGGGGAGCAAACAGGG
Molecule: ribosomal RNA, 255 nt
Filed under: uncultured bacterium
Lineage: Bacteria
Description: partial 16S ribosomal RNA
Rfam family: Bacterial small subunit ribosomal RNA
Source: RNAcentral